UGCAUAUUUUUCUCAGCUCUCUAAGUUUGUUUCAGCUCUAGGUAACGCUAAAUCCUUCUCCCAUGAUAGGGAUUUUCAGUUUCCCCAGUGAGGAUGUGUAUUCAGAGGUGGGCUUUCUCCCUGUCACACUUCGGGCGCUCACAGUUUUUCAGCUGUCUCAUGGAGUUUGCAGCAGCAAGCUACAAGGGGUCAGAGAUCUCUUUCAGUUUUCCUGAGAGAAAGGCUAGACUUAUGGGGUGACCAACAAUGCUGGUUUAUCCAAGAAGGGGAUUCCUAGGACGCAGGGCUGUCAGUGCUAAACCAGGUAAGGCAUAGGCAAACUGGAAUGAGUUGGUCAAUGCAAUUUAAUGUCAGUCCUUCACUCAAAUCUAGCCCUCUCAGUUAAUUAACUUGUAUUUUCUCAUCCAUAAAAGUGACACAGAGUUGUUAUUAAAAUAAAAUAAAGGGGCCGGGCGCAGUGGCUCAAGCCUGUAAUCCCAGCACUUUGGGAGGCCGAGACGGGCAGAUCACGAGGUCAGGAGAUCGAGACCAUCCUGGCUAACACGGUGAAACCCCGUCUCUACUAAAAUACAAAAAAAACUAGCUGGGCGAGGUGGUGGUCGCCUGUAGUCCCAGACACUCGGGAGGCUGAGGCAGGAGAAUGGCGUGAACCUGGGAGGCGGGGCUUGCAGUGAGCUGAGAUCCGGCCACUACACUCCAGCCUGGGCAACAGAGUGAGACUCCAUCUCAAAAAUAAAAUAAAAUAAAAUAAAAUAAAAUAAAGAAAGAAAAUUGCCCAUCAGAAUGCCUGACACUUACUUAGUAGGUGCUCAAUAAAUUAUGGCUAUUAUUAGAUGAAAAGUACUCUGUGUACCUCGGUACACCCUAUGGACACCAUUGGAUUAUGGCAAGCAAAAUAUUGGCCUGGCACAGUGUCUCACACCGGUAAUCCCAGCAUAGGCUAGGAGGCCAAGGCAGGCAGAUCACUGGAGGUCAGGAGUUCAAGACCAGCCUGGCCAACAUGGUGAAACCCCGUCUCUACUAAAAAUACAAAAAUUAGCCAGGCAUGGUAGCAUGUGCCUGUAGUUGCAGCUACUCAGCAGCCUGAGGCAAGAGAAUUGCUUGAACCCAGGAGGCAGAGGUUGCAGUGAGCCGAGAUGAUGGCGCCACUGCACUCCAGCUUGGGCAACAGAGUGAGACUCCAUCUCAAAAACAAAAAAAUUAGAGUUCACAAUUAUGAUCUUGAGUUACUAAAGAACAUUAAACUAUGACUGUUAUAUUCCUGUAUAGCAAUAUUAUCCAUUAAGAUGUGUGGGAGUCAUGAUAUUAGGCAUGAAAUAAGGAGAGGAAGCUCAACACAAUAUUUGGUCCUACUGUAAAUAGUAUUUACACUGCAAUAAUAGCUACACUAGUUAUUGAAUUACAAGUUAUAGAAUUGAAUUAUAGACAAAUUAUGGAGAAAUUAACAAUAGUUUCAGAACAUAGUGUAAAUAUUAUUAAUCUGUAUAUUGUGAAAGUACAGCUAUAGUUGACAGAGGUAGCAAAGUGGAAAUGGGAUAAAGAAGGACAAAAACAGUAGAAUCAUCAAGAGCCAACAUGGGGAAUUAAGAAAUGCAGUCUCUUGUUCGCGGAAUAAGAAGUUGAAGUUGAAUUGUGUUGCUUAAAGAUGCCCUAAUUCCAAGUGGAGAAACUGAGAAGGGUAAUAGAACCAUUUUGGAGGGUGGGAAAAUCAGAUGAGAGAGACACACAGAGAGAGAGAGAGAGAGAGAAAGGGGAGAAAGGGAGGGAGAGGGAGGGAGGGAGAGACAUCACAUCUCCCUCCCUUUCUCUCUCCUUGUCUCUCUCUCAUCUGAUUUUAAACAUAUGCAUUAAUUCUAUUUAUGAAAUUGUAAAAAUAAAAACAGAAAG
This 1887-nucleotide long non-coding RNA is filed under the name Papio anubis (olive baboon). RNAcentral describes it as "lncRNA (ENSPANG00000048380.1)". The record is from RNAcentral. Lineage: Eukaryota; Metazoa; Chordata; Mammalia; Primates; Cercopithecidae.